UAAAAACGGGACUAGCUAACAGUCGUGGGUCGUGGGUCGUGGGUAGAAUGUCGUGGGUCGUGGGUAAAAAGGCGUGGGUCGUGGGUAAAAAGGCGUGGGUCGUGGGUAAAAAGGCGUGGGUCGUGGGUAAAAAGGCGUGGGUCCCUGAAAAAAUUUCCGUAUAUCGUAGUCCCAUUUAGGGUUGUUGAUAUCAGGGCCGCCGAGAACUUGGCGGGGGCCCGGGACAAAGGUUUUUCAGGGGCCCCUAUUUCAAACUUUUUUCGGAAAACAACAUUUUUGGAAAAAAAUUU
Molecule: long non-coding RNA, 290 nt
Filed under: Paramuricea clavata
Lineage: Eukaryota; Metazoa; Cnidaria; Anthozoa; Malacalcyonacea; Plexauridae
Source: RNAcentral